UACAAACCAAAAAUAAUGCGAGUCAGCGUGGGACCGGAAGAGAUUGAUGUCCCGCUAGGGUGAACGUGUCGCUGCGGCGAACACAGCGCCCCCCUGAGGACAGCCAACGCACCUGUCUCUUCGUCCAGAUGGACAAAUGGUGAGAUGAAGGAGAUGAAGGCCGCUGCACCUGGCACACAAACAGAGGCUUGGCAACAACGGAUAGAAGAAGACGGAUGGAGUUCAAGCAAUGGGCUGUUUAGUUUAUGUACCGCUGUGUUUACAUAUUUUUGGUCUUGAAGUGUAUAAGUACUAUUUCUUUUAAUAAAAACACAACAUAGAAAAUUA
Molecule: long non-coding RNA, 327 nt
Organism: Hippoglossus stenolepis (Pacific halibut)
Lineage: Eukaryota; Metazoa; Chordata; Actinopteri; Pleuronectiformes; Pleuronectidae
Exons: 2
Source: RefSeq, a predicted model, not a curated record